Molecule: non-coding RNA, 216 nt
Organism: Pelobates cultripes (western spadefoot toad)
Lineage: Eukaryota; Metazoa; Chordata; Amphibia; Anura; Pelobatidae
Source: the annotation of a GenBank genome assembly
CUUGGCCUGUGGGACAAAUAAAUAUCCUUUAGCUGAGCAAGAAACUCACAGAUCUCACAGUGGAUGGCCUUACUUAUGUGGAACAUGCAGUAUAUAUGGAUGUGUCAGGUGGAGGCUGCGUGAAUUGCAAGGCGCGCCAUUCUAUAUCGCUGCAACCUUUAUAAAUAUGACAUGCAAAAUAGAAGGAGCACAGAGAUACUGGCAUGUGUUGUGAAU